Vicia faba (fava bean) is the source of this 282-nucleotide non-coding RNA. The record is from the annotation of a GenBank genome assembly. NCBI's taxonomy places the organism in Eukaryota, Viridiplantae, Streptophyta, Magnoliopsida, Fabales, Fabaceae.
AUGCAUGGGAAUCACUUAUCUUUCAGCGGUGGCAUAAGUACAGAAGGCAUGCUCAGUAAUGACAAACAUACAUUAGUUGCAGACGAAGCAUUUAAUCGAACAGCUAGUAUUCAUAGUAAGAUAAGCAGUCAAAACUACAUGAACAAUGUGUCGAUUCUUAAAAGAAUGAAUGAUGUUCUGGUCAAUUCGAACCCGACUCGCAUUGAUGUUGUUCGAUGUGUGAUUCCGAGUACCUCCGAGUUUGGUCGUAUUUCUUUUCGGAUACAACGAAAUCCGGGAUGA